Molecule: long non-coding RNA, 1022 nt
Organism: Oryzias melastigma (Indian medaka)
Lineage: Eukaryota; Metazoa; Chordata; Actinopteri; Beloniformes; Adrianichthyidae
Exons: 2
Source: RefSeq, a predicted model, not a curated record
AACGAUGUUAAAAACUCAAGUUUUCUAAAUAAAAAUAUAAAUAACGACGGUUUUAUUGAGUUGUAUUAGUAAAAUGUUCCAAUGAAUAACGUAAACAACUUUGAAUAGUCAGUCGUGGCGACAUAUGAGUAUAUUUAAGUUUAUGCUAAGUAAAAAUAUUCAAAACUUGUUAUUGUUGUUUUAAGGAACGUCAUGUGGUGGUAGACCUUCUCCGCGGCGGACAGGUGAGCCAGAGCCGCCAGCAGCGCGCUCCACAUGGGCCCGGCGCCGCGGCUCAGGUCCUUCUCCUUCUCCACGUAGUCCUUGGCCCGGUCGAACGACAGCAUCCCCAGCUGCGUGAAGAAGCUCUCCAGGAUGGCGCGCUCCCGGGGGACGGGACGGAGCUCCUCCGCCUCCGUCAUGGUGAUGACGGGCUCAGCGGGCCGCGGCAGCUACCGACCCACCGGGGCGGGUAACAGUCGCUCGGACCGAACCCUCGCUGGAGACUGACCGUACAGACUUUACGAAACAACCGACAUCCUUAAAGUGUCGCCAUGAGGAGAGAAAAACAUGAAAACAUGUCUGAAAUCAGUCUGCUGCUUCCUCACGUGACGCCAUAUUGUUUUGGACCCUACGGAGAGCGAAGAAGGACAACAUUUCUUCGUCGUCACCAAAUAUUUAUUAAAUCUAUCGAUUUUUAAAACUAUUUAUUAAAAUAUAAUUUAGAAUUUUAAUACUGUUGUUGCGGUAUUUCAAUAAAUUUAAACUGUUGUGGUUUUUAAUUUUGAAUCAUAUUAUACUUUUAUAACGAAAAAAACAUGAACAUGAACAUGGAAAAAUCCACGAACACGUGAUCAUUUUGUUCAUUUUUCUUCAAUAAAUAACAAGCUUUUUAAGUUAAGAAGUACGAGAUUGCUACAGUAAAGAAUUAACAUAUUUUUGUGACAGUGAAGAAAAUUGUUUAGAAAAAUUGGAGAUUGACGUCAUAACUGAUUGUUUUGUGUCUCCUAUUGAUAAAUGAAAAUAAAGAUGGCGGAAAACCA